CGCGGCCUAUCAGCUUGUUGGUGGGGUAAUGGCCUACCAAGGCGACGACGGGUAGCCGGCCUGAGAGGGCGACCGGCCACACUGGGACUGAGACACGGCCCAGACUCCUACGGGAGGCGGCAGUGGGGAAUAUUGCGCAAUGGGCGAAAGCCUGACGCAGCGACGCCGCGUGAGGGAUGACGGCCUUCGGGUUGUAAACCUCUUUCAGCAGGGAUGAAGCGCAAGUGACAGUACCUGCAGAAGAAGCACCGGCUAACUACGUGCCAGCAGCCGCGGUAAUACGUAGGGUGCAAGCGUUGUCCGGAAUUAUUGGGCGUAAAGAGCUCGUAGGCGGUUUGUCGCGUCGGAUGUGAAAACCCAGGGCUCAACCCUGGGCCUGCAUUCGAUACGGGCAGACUAGAAUUCGGUAGGGGAGUCUGGAAUUCCUGGUGUAGCGGUGAAAUGCGCAGAUAUCAGGAGGAACACCGGUGGCGAAGGCGGGACUCUGGGUCGAUAUUGACGCUGAGGAGCGAAAGCGUGGGGAGCGAACAGGAUUAGAUACCCUGGUAGUCCACGCCGUAAACGUUGGGCGCUAGGUGUGGGGAACCUUCCACGCUCUCCGUGCCGCAGCUAACGCAUUAAGCGCCCCGCCUGGGGA
This 637-nucleotide ribosomal RNA is filed under the name uncultured bacterium. RNAcentral describes it as "bacterial SSU rRNA". It matches the Rfam family "Bacterial small subunit ribosomal RNA", at positions 232 to 879 of the family's 1533-position model. The record is from RNAcentral.